UGCAAAUGGGUAGAAGAAAAUAUUUAGAAGUUAAAGGACUCUACUUUAGUUGUCUGUAAAAUUACCGUUCAGAAUGUAAUUCCCUAAUGCAGAGAUUUCGGAAACGUAGAAAUUAGAAAGGAUGAAAGAUUUCGGAAACGUAGAAAUUAGAAAGGAUGAAAAGUGUCUGGUUCCUCUUAGCAGCUGCAUCUGCCCCAGACAAACAGAUGCUUGCCUCUGGCCUCUCCCAGAAAACGCCUGUGUUGCCUUAGAUCACCAUCUGGUUGCCUUAAGACCUCAGCAGCCUGAUGAGUUCAGUAAAAGUCACGCAUUUGAGGGGUUUUUUGCUUUCUUACUGCUGUAAGUUUGGGAGUGGCUCUUUUUCUAGUUCUGUACAUCUCAAGCAGGAACUCGAUGUCUCUAUUGGAGCAGUUUACACAGAAAAAAUUACGUGACCCGAUUUAAAUAUCUGAAGGAUAAUUUUAGCACAUAUGGAAAAAAAUAGAAAGAGCCUGCAGUUGGGCACAAGAGACAGGGAAUGAGGCGACCGCAAUAACCCACGUAAGAAGUGAAUGGUAGACCAUACGAUCCAGCAAUCCUACUUCUGGAAAUUUACCCCGAAGAACUGAAAGGAGGGUCUUGAAGAACUGUUUGCACCUCCAUGUUCAUAGCAACGCUAUUCAUGGUAGCCAAGAAGUAGAAACAACCAAAAUGUCCAUUAAUAGAAAAAGAAAAUGUGGUACACACAGUGGAAUAUUAGCCUUAAAAAGAAAGAAAAUCCUGUCAAAUACUACAACGUAGGUAGGCCUUGAGGACAUUAUGUUAAAUGACAUGGGCAGUCACAAACUGACAAAUACCAUUAUGAUUUCAUUUCUGUGAGGUAUCCGACAUAGUCAAACUCUGAGAAACAGAAAAGUGGCACGGUGGCCGAGGGGCCAGGAGGUGGGGGAAAAGGGAGUUGUUGUGUGAUGAAUAUAGAGUUUCAGUUUUGCAGAAUGAAAAAGUUCUGGAGAUCUGCUUUCACCACAAUAAAAUGUUGAAGACUGAGUGAAUUCUCUGCGCAUGUUUUUAAAAUAAUCACAGUCAAAUGUGACCACCCGUUUUAACACUUCAAAAUACUCCUUUGGGAUUCAUGAUGUAAAUGAGAACACUUUUGUGCUUACGGUUUGUGCUUUCUGCUUAAAAGGACUUCAGUUCGUCAGCCGGUUCGGCUACGACUCACCUACAGAUACUAAGACGCGUUUCUGAACACCAUCCGAAGCUUGUCCUUUUUCCCGUGAUCCCUCUCUCCCUGAGCAAGUCAGCCUUUGCGUGAGACCAGCCGCCCGGGGAGUGGGGCGCCGCGACGUCCGCAUUGCAGGCUGUCAGCACCGGAGCAGGGUGAGCUUUUCUGUAAGUUCGAGAUUAUUUCAAAAGAAAAACAAGAAGAAUCUUUAAAGAACAUGUGUCAACCUCAUUUUCUGGCAUCGUGGCAACAAAGGACUGAACUGCGAUAAAUCGGUCUUCCUGGUUUUAGUGUAAUGGUUGAUUUCUCCUUCCUCAGUUUUGCUCUUGUGGGUCUUCUUUCAUUUUUUUGUAAAGCAAAGUUUAGUGGGAUUUAUCUUUGAAAAAGACUUAAGCCCACAGUGCUGACCUUUUUAGAAAUGAAAACACUUGAGGCUUCAUAAUGCAAAUGUGCCAAAUUGUAAGUGAACAACUAAUGAAUACUGUGUGAUUAAAAACACCUGUCAAAUGCUUACAGGAAAACAAUGUCAAAAGUUCUUUCUAAAAAAUAUUGCCGGGGCGCCUGGGUGGGUCAGUCGGUUGAGCUUCCGACUUCAGCUCAGGUCAUGAUCUUACCAUUUGCGAGUUCAAGCCCCGCGUCGGGCUCUGUGCUGACAGCUCUGGGCCUGAAGCCUGUUUCGGGUUUUGUGUCUCCCUCUUUUUCUCUGCCCCUCCCCUGCUUGCACUCUGCCUCUCUCUCUCAAAAAUAAACAGACAUUAAAAAAUAUUGCAAUUUUGUAGAACUGUAUCUUUGGCUAUUUUAUUAGUCUUUUGGUUGAGCUUUCAAUAGGUCGGGUUCUUACUUUCCUCAAGCUUUGGCUGAAAUAUUGUGCGAAUGCAAGGGUUAAUAAAAAUGAAGGAAACAAACGUUUGUAAUCUGUUUCCUUGAGUGUUCCCUUGGCCAGGU
Long non-coding RNA from Panthera uncia (snow leopard), 2149 nucleotides. RefSeq lists it as uncharacterized. The record is from RefSeq and is a predicted model, not a curated record. The transcript has 3 exons. Lineage: Eukaryota; Metazoa; Chordata; Mammalia; Carnivora; Felidae.